Molecule: ribosomal RNA, 466 nt
Filed under: uncultured bacterium
Lineage: Bacteria
Description: partial 16S ribosomal RNA
Rfam family: Bacterial small subunit ribosomal RNA
Source: RNAcentral
GACGAACGCUGGCGGCGUGCUUAACACAUGCAAGUCGAACGGAAAGGCCCUGCUUGCAGGGUACUCGAGUGGUGAACGGGUGAGUAACACGUGGGUGAUCUGCACUGCACUUCGGGAUAAGCGUGAGUAACUGGGUCUAAUACCGGACAGGAGCCUUCUUUCGUGUGGUGGUUGGAGAGUUUGUUCGGUGUAGUAUGAGCGUGCGGCCUAUCAGCGUGUUGGUGGGGUAAUGGCUUAACAAGGCGGCUACGGGAAGCCGGCAUGAGGGGGGGUACGGCGACAUGCGGACUGGGAACUGGGCCACAGUCCUGCGGGAGGCAGGAGGGGGGAAUAGUGAACAUUGGGCGAAAGCCUGAUGCAGGAACGCCGCGUGGGGGGUGAAGGCCGUAGGGUUGUAAGCUCUUAUGGCUAGGUACGAAGCAUUUUUGUGACGGUACCUAGAUAAGAAGCACCGGCUAACUACGUG